Molecule: transfer RNA, 63 nt
Filed under: Pectinatella magnifica
Lineage: Eukaryota; Metazoa; Bryozoa; Phylactolaemata; Pectinatellidae
Description: tRNA-Thr
Source: RNAcentral
GUAUUUGAAGCUUUGAAGAAGCAUCGGUCUUGUAAGCCGAAGAUGGGUUAUUUCCCAAAUGCU